Gasterosteus aculeatus aculeatus (three-spined stickleback) is the source of this 3444-nucleotide long non-coding RNA. Lineage: Eukaryota; Metazoa; Chordata; Actinopteri; Perciformes; Gasterosteidae. The record is from Ensembl.
CAACAUGAGGCCCCGGAGGGUCUGACAUCUGAGACGGAGCUCCGGCAGUUACAAAACUACAAUAUAUUCCAAAAGAAAUAUUGAUUCACAUUUGAAUAUUUAUUCGAAAAAGAAAAAAAUAAUAUAUAUAUAUAGAUAUAUUUAAAUAUAUAAAAUAAUAAAUAUAAUAAUAAUAAAUAAAACAUAAUAUAUUAAAUAAUAAAAUAGAAAAGACUCUAUUUAAUGUAUAUAUUAAUUAUGACUAUUUGGGUUAAUCCUCUGAUUAAUGGGGUUUUAAGGGGAACCAUUAAUGCGUUUAUUAUUCUCUUAGAAAAUAAUAUCAGAAACAACUGAUUUUAACUAUUGAUUUAACUUUCAGAGAUUAAACAAAUAAAUCAAAGUAAUAAUAUAAUGAAUCAAAUAAUAAUAUCCUUCUUAGUAAAUACUUUGACUUACUAUGACUUUACUAUGACUGUGUGUGUGUGUGUGUGUGUGUGCGUGUGUGUGUGUGUGCGUGUGUGUGUGCGUGUGUGUGUGUGUGCGUGUGUGUGCGCGUGUGUGUGUGUGUGUGCGUGUGUGUGUGUGUGUGUGUGUGUGUGUGUGUGUGCGUGUGUGUGUGUGUGUGUGUGUGUUUAAAACAGCAGGGGGCAGCAGAGGUUCAAGUUUUCAAAAGCUCCAGAAAGUUCUGUUAGACUCACUGAGGUGAACGUUAAGUGAUGAAGAUGAGGUGAUAAAAGUUAAGUGAUGAAGAUGAGGCGAUGGAGGAAAGGAGCCUCAAUGCGUCCUUACAUAGCUCCUUUAGCAGAGGAACCACCGGAGCAUCCUUUGCCAAAGGAAAGGAGAUAAUUCCGUCCCACACACUGUAACAGCACAUGAAGGCACCUCAGACGCUUCUCUGUAGCCGCUGCAGACUGACGUCACCAACAUGCGUCUCCGUCCAUCACAACUAGCAGCUCAGUGGAAGUGGAGUCGAUUCCCUAAGCACCGCGUGUGUCUCUUCCUAACUCCUUACGAACUCUCCUCACCAUCUUUCCUUGACGCGGUGACGUUUUCCACAGAGGUCAAGGAAAGGUGGUUAGGAAUAGUGGUUAGGAAUAGACGUUAGGAGGCCACCAAUGUGCUAUUCGGAUCCCGUCCAGACCUUCCAGCAGAGGACGCCGUUUCUCUCUUACGCCUCUGGUGACAUCACUUCCUGCCUGCGGCUCCUCCCAUCCAUCCAGCAGCGACCGGUUUGAGGCUCUUCUCCAUGACGCAAGAGGCCCCUCCAGUGUGUCCACAACAACAAAGAUGAGAGGGGAUUACACGCCAACAACGGUGCUGGAAAAGAACAGUUAGCAAUGUGACGUUAGCAUGUUAGCGAUGAGACAUUAGCAUGUUAGCAAUGUGACAUUAGCAUGUUAGCAGUAAAAUCCAGCUGAGGCUGAUUGAAUGUUUUGAGUGUGUUUUUUUGUUGUUAUUUUGGUCAUAAACCAAAGUGACAUGUUGGCUAAAGGGCACAUGAGUAAAGAACGACCCAACAGUUGAGUCAAAAAACACAAAGUGCUUUAGACGUCUCUUGGGUUCAUCCUCUGGGGAACAUGAACGUGGCAUAAUCAUUGUGGUGAAACUGAUACUCUACGUGAGCUUUUCAGUUAAUGGCGUUUAACAGAGUGGAAGCUGUGCUAAGCCUCAUGCAAAGGAAGUGACAUCACCGCUGGCGGUGAUGUCACAACAAAAGCCCAGCGUUACUCAAAGUGUUCCAUCACAGUUCUUCCUACUGACUUAACGAGUAGAUUCACCCGUUCAUCAUUACAUUAAGAGGAGCAUUUAUUGUGUUAGAAGCUCUUUGAAUAUGCAAAUGAGGGAUUAUGAGAUACGUUUGGGUGGAUUUCGGAUGAAAAGCUGAUGAUUGAACAGGUGGAGCGAGUCCAGCUGGCUGAAGCUCCUCCGCCUUCACACAAAGACACAGAAGUGCACAUGAAGCAUUCUGCAUUUCUCUAGCUGCAGAGGAGGAACUGGGUUCAUUCCAUCAGUUUCUGCUCACACAUGAACUGGUAUUUCCUAAAAGUCUUCUCCGUUGAUUAAAAUAAAAUACUUGUGCAGCCCUUGAGUCUUCUGGGAGUGUGUUCAUGGACUUCAGGACCAGGAAGCAGACCAGAAAGCCUCCAGAGGUUCAUCAAAGCUCCCAUCUGGACCCGCGUGGUCUGGAGCAGCAGGAACGAUGCUCCUGGGUUUCCUUCGAUGGGACCAGUGAGGACGUUCCUCCAGCGUCUGCAGAUAAACGUGCUCCUCCAGCCUGGAGAUUGUCUUCGUUGUCUUCGUCGUCUUCCCGUCGUCUUCCCGUUGUCGUCCUGUCGUCUUCUUGUACUUUUCCACUGUGUCUCUGCAGGCGGAGGAAUGAAGGCUGCGGGCCUCCGUCUGAUGGGUGGAGACGAUGACCUCAUCCGCUCGUCGUGUCUCAACGUCUCCGACUCUCUGCUCACAUUCCUGCAGAGUUGAGUUUCUCUGCAGCAAGAGGGAGAGGAAGAGGGAGAGGAAGAGGGAGAGGAAGGAGAGGAAGAGGAAGGAGAGGAAGAGGAAGGAGAGGAAGAGGAAGGAGAGGGAAAGGAAGGAGAGGAAGAGGAAGGAGAGGAAGAGGAAGGAGAGGGAAAGGAAGAGGGAGAGGAAGGAGAGGAAGGAGAGGAAGAGGAAGGAGAGGAAAAGGAAGAGGGAGAGGAAGAGGGAGAGGAAGGAGAGGAAGAGGAAGGAGAGGGAAAGGAAGAGGCGAGGCAUUAGCAUCCAAACAUUUAAUAUUAGCCAGUAUGAAUAUUUUAUAAUAAUAAUAAAUAAAUUAUACCAAUAAAAAUGAUAAUAACAUUGUGAUAAUAAUUACGUUAUUAUAUCUCUAUCUGUAUCUACUAUCAAGUCAGCUCAGAAAGUACAAUUGAAUCAUUUAAUUAUAUCUUGAUGGUAAUAUCACAACGACCACUUCUACUUCUAAACAAUGAUACAAAUAACAACAAUAACAAUGAUAAUAAUGUGAGGAUUGAUCUGUGUAGAAAUGUUUCAGCUGCUUCCCUUGAUUCCUGCUGAGUGAGCAGAAGAAAACCGACGUUUUACAUUCAUCUUUGUUUCAUAACUAUUUCAUCACAGCAGAAAGUUCCCACAUGUUCAAAUGCUCGGCUGAAUUCCUGUGAUGUGAUGAGGACUAUUGAGUCAGACUUCCUCCUUCUCUCUCCUCUUAUCUUCACAGGGUGGGGAUACCUUCUGAGGACUGAUGGUAGACAUGAGUGUCCUUUUAACCUGUUGACCUGAUAUGUGAAUCUCUUCACUCACGUUGGACCCACUGGAAAUAAAUGAGCUGACGGUAUUUCUUUAUUCUCUGUGGAGACAAUCGUAGUGACUAUGUUUUAAAGCCCUUCAUGCCCACAUGUGAUCCAACAGUGUCAAAAUAAAAGCCCUUCAUGCCCACAUGUGAUCCAACAGUGUCAAAAUAAAAGCCCUUCA